CUGGAGACAACAUCACUCUGCCAUGUGGACCUCCUGACACAAAGCUGCCUCAGCUGUAGAGUGGAGCAGAACCGACCUGGAGUCAGCAUGUUCUGCUCUACAGAGAUGAGCAGAUUGAUCCAGAAAACCAGCAUCCAUCGUUCAAGAACCAGGUGGAGCUGCAGGACAGACAGAUGCAGGAUGGAGAGGUGAAUCUGGUUCUGAAGGACUGCUAAUGGAGGAACAUCUGAGUGUCGAGUCGUUCAGGGAGGAACAAGUCUGAGAAGAGAGUCCUUCUGAAGACUGGUCCCAUCAGAACCAUCCACCUGGAUGCUCCUCCUCCUCCAGACUCAUGCUUGGACAUUGCUUCAGCUCUUUUUGGAGUUUAUUCCAGACCUUCACACCACAACAUUGAUCCACAGAAGAGGCUUUCUCCAACAGAAAUGAUCCAUUUGAAGCCGAUGAUUCAGAGCUGCUCCUAGAAAGCAGAAACCUGCCUGCAGCAAGAAUAACAAGAGAUGCUGAUAAUAAGUCAAUAAUUCAGAUAUCAAAUGUAAACACUUUGUGUUUUUGUUUUUUAAUAAAUGUUUAGUUUGGAAUAAA
Long non-coding RNA from Girardinichthys multiradiatus, 582 nucleotides. RefSeq lists it as uncharacterized. The transcript has 3 exons. NCBI's taxonomy places the organism in Eukaryota, Metazoa, Chordata, Actinopteri, Cyprinodontiformes, Goodeidae. The record is from RefSeq and is a predicted model, not a curated record.